This is a non-coding RNA of Paramuricea clavata, 263 nucleotides long. The record is from the annotation of a GenBank genome assembly. NCBI's taxonomy places the organism in Eukaryota, Metazoa, Cnidaria, Anthozoa, Malacalcyonacea, Plexauridae.
GGUCACAAAGCGUAGGAUGGAUAAUUGUUGCAAUUUGAUUUGGGUUAGCUGUGCCUAUAUUAUGCCUAUAUAUAUAAACUAUUUAUAUUUUGUGAUAAUACCAUCAUCAAUGGAAUUGGAAGAGAUGAGAUAGCUCGUUUACAUUAAGUCAUGGGACGUAUUGAUUUUUGUCGGAAUGUUUUGCAAUCAGUUCCUGGGAAAAGGUUCAAAUCAACAGUCAGCUCCCUUAAAUCAAAAUAUGAUGCAAUCAUUGUUGGUGCAGG